CCUACGGGAGGCAGCAGUGAGGAAUAUUGGUCAAUGGGCGCGAGCCUGAACCAGCCAUGCAGCGUGAAGGAUGACUGCCCUACGGGUUGUAAACUUCUUUUAUAAGAGAAUAAAGUGAGGCACGUGUGCCGUUUUGUAUGUACUGUAUGAAUAAGGAUUGGCUAACUCCGUGCCAGCAGCCGCGGUAAUACGGAGGAUCCGAGCGUUAUCCGGAUUUAUUGGGUUUAAAGGGUGUGUAGAUGGGUUGAUAAGUCAGUGGUGAAAGUUUGGGGCUCAACCGUAAAAUUGCAAUUGAUACUGGCAGUCUUGAGUACAGUUGAGGUAGGCGGAAUUUGUGGUGUAGCGGUGAAAUGCAUAGAUAUCACGAAGAACUCCGAUUGCGAAGGCAGCUUACUAAACUGCCACUGACAUUGAUGCUCGAAAGUGUGGGUAGCAAACAGGAUUAGAUACCCUUGUAGUC
This 460-nucleotide ribosomal RNA is filed under the name uncultured bacterium. Its description in RNAcentral is "partial 16S ribosomal RNA". It matches the Rfam family "Bacterial small subunit ribosomal RNA", at positions 338 to 795 of the family's 1533-position model. The record is from RNAcentral.